UACGUAGGGUGCGAGCGUUGUCCGGAAUUAUUGGGCGUAAAGAGCUCGUAGGCGGUGUGUCACGUCGGCCGUGAAAACCUGGGGCUUAACUCUGGGCGUGCGGUCGAUACGGGCAUCACUAGAGUUCGGCAGGGGAGACUGGAAUUCCUGGUGUAGCGGUGAAAUGCGCAGAUAUCAGGAGGAACACCGGUGGCGAAGGCGGGAUCCUGGGCCAGUACUAACGCUGAGGAGCGAAAGCGUGGGGAGCAAACAGG
Molecule: ribosomal RNA, 254 nt
Filed under: uncultured bacterium
Lineage: Bacteria
Description: partial 16S ribosomal RNA
Rfam family: Bacterial small subunit ribosomal RNA
Source: RNAcentral